GCUUACGCAGGAAGUGCGCGUGUGUCAGCGUCUCCGGCUGCCGGGGAGAGGUUGGUGAAACAGCGUUUAAGCCUUUCGCGGGUCGCGUAACUGCUCUUUGUAUGUUUGGAGUAAUGAUUACGUGGGCACAGAAGACAAACUCAUCUAGAUUAUAUCAGGUACUGCACUGAGUGAUGAGACUAUAAACAUGAAUAAAACAUGACCCUCGCCCUCAAGGAUUCUACAAAGAGCUCGGUGGAAGAAAAAAUGGAAGCACAGAUACGGGUUCAGGAGGAGCUUGUAUUUAUAAUCCCACAGGAGAUGAUGAAUGUAGAACAUUUUUUCCAUUUUGUACAGCACUGAUACGUGGAAAUAUAUAUGUACCACUACAGUAGAAAUGGGGAAAUUAUAAGUUUGUGCAAACCAGACUUUCCUGAAAUGGAUCCUCAUUCCAUAUUCUUUUUAAUACCAGCUAACUGCUGCAACAUUAUUCCUGCAUUUUCCCAAAUGCAGCCAACAUGGAUACCUCUGCUACUCUGUUUUGGCCACCAUAGCUGCUGCUUCUCUCGGGAGAGCUCUCUUUUCUAAGCAUCAAGCAUCUCAAACAAGACAGUCUCUGGGAUUUCAUCUUCCUUUUUGAAGCGACCUGACCUAUCAGGAUCUUCAUUUCCCAACACGAAGCUACCUCGGAACUGAGGCAUGUGAAACAAAGGCAAGUCCUUGAGCAGAGCCUUCAGGGAGCUACCGGAGAACUCAGGGAGCUACUUCAGGUCAAAAUAUAAAUCCACAAUUAUUUGAGAGUAAGAUUGGUGUUGGUUCCUCUGGUACCAGUAAUCUGCACCAGGAAAACGGGCUUCUGUCUUCAAGUCUGCAACUGAGUUGGGGAGUGGGAGAUGUAUCGAGAUUCUGGAGUUCUGAAGAAGUUCACUGUGACUAUUUUUGCUGCUGUCCAUUGCUUUCGUGGAGGGAUGAAGCUUUGGAGUUUUCUACUCCGCUAUUUUCACAGAUGUCCGUCCAGUGGAGAGAGUGGGUGAUAUGGCUGUGAUAUUACUGAUUCUAAUGAAAGGGUAGCAUCCAGUCCAGAUCCCUUCAGGCUUCUCUGAGAGUCUUCAGAUUUGGAUGCCUGAGAAGAUCUGUGGCUGAACCCUGGAAAGCAUUUACCUGCACCUUUCGUGGGGUCUACUUUGAGGGACCCUAUCCUAUAAUGUAUGCGUACAGCUUCUGUCUAAGGUGACUUGAUUCCUUGGUGAUACAGACUGACAAAAGGCUUUUCACACUCAAAGUGCUUUCAGUUCUCCCAGAAUAGAUAAAUUCAGGAAAACCUGGCAACAGGACAUUUGGUGAGCCUUUUCAGAGGGUUGGACUCCAGAAUACAGCACUGAACAUGGGUGUUAGGAUGGCAAACUUCUAUGUGACCAUAACAGAAAACUCAGAAAAGAAUCUAUCUCUUCCGCUUAUCUGAACUAUUUUGAAGACCUCUGCUUGACAUCUUUCAAACAACUUAUGCUUCACCUGCCUAUAGCAUUUGGUGAGAAAGAACCAGGAUGGGCUAUUCAUUUGUUCUCAGUAUCUUGACAUUUCUCAGAUACAGAAGAUCCAGAUCAACAUGGCCCUUGGGAGGCUGGUGACUGAGACCAGGGUCCUCAUGCCUGUGGUAAGCAUUUGAUUCUAUAUGCUCAAAUGCUAUGGGUCUACAUGAAUUUGGGUCCACUAACCACCAACAACUGUCUCACAUUCUCUGAGACAUGUGGGUUGUCAAAUGUGGGUAUGGCUGAGGGAGUCUGACAGAGAAUACUGAGACAUUCCUCUCUGCUGCUUGUGUCCUGGCUUCCCCAUUUCACUUCUGGCUACGACUAUUGGAAGAUGGAAGUUGGGGAGGGGCAGGUAGAAAUGGGAUACAGGUGUUUGCUUGGAGUCUGCACAUUGUCAAGGAACAUUCCCUAUGUCUUCAGAGCUUGGAUUCCGAGUUGUGGGCCUCAGAGGAGGUUAUGAAGUUGUGUUGUCUGAACCCAGGACCAUUCUUCACAUGAACCUAAACUUGCAGGAUGUGGACAUGUUCCAGGUUUGACCUAAAAGCCAGCUCAUUUUGUGAUGCCCCUGAUGGCUUCCAUCUCUACACAUUAAAAAAUGUGUUUACCUCAGGGCCUUUGCAUCAACCUUGUGUCCUAGGACCCCAGGCAAGGGUGAGAACGUGAAGAUCUGUCCCAGGGGAGCCACAGGUGUUGAAGUUUGGCCACAGUUACCCUAAGAAGACGUGUAAACUCUGUCCAAAAUAAAAAGCAAAUGGGAGAAAACUGCUGACUCAUAUAGACCCAAGAUCUUUCAUUAUUACAGAUGUUUAUAAGGUUGAGAAUACUGGGGGUUUUUUUUCUACUGAUAAGGAAGCCUUUGGAUUUAAAAAAAUUGGAUUUAAAAAAAAAAAAGCCUUGGAUUUAAAAAAAGGAAGCCUUUGGAUUUAAAAAAAAAAUUUAAAAAAAUUGCUAAUCCAAAAUAAAAAGCAAAUGGGAGAAAACUGCUAACUCAUAUAGACCCAAGAUCUUUCAUUAUUACAGAUGUUUAUAAGGUUGAGAAUACUGGGGUUUUUUUUUUUUCUACUGAUAAGGAAGCCUUUGGAUUUAAAAAAAAUGGAUUUAAAAAAUUGCUACUGAUAAGGAAGCCUUUGGAUUUAAAAAAAAAAUUAAAAAAAAUUCUAACUGCGAGGUUUUGCUUAUGUUGAGACAGAACAAACCAAAGAGCAUUAUAAGUGUGGCUUUGUUUCCUCUUACAUGUUUCUGAGAGGACAUAGCCAUGAACUGCUGCUUUAGGAGGAAACCAAGAGCUCAUUUGUGGACAGUGUCCAGGAUGAAUCUGUGUAAAAUGCCAAUGAAAAUACUCCCAGUCAAAACAUGAGGUGUGUGGGUGAGCUGUGAACAAAGAAAACGUCAUCACGUUGAAAGCUUGAAGUACCAAGCAAGAAAGAUGACCAAUAACCAAAUGAAGCAUCCGACUGAACAAGACAAAGGAGGGCUCAGAGACAGAAGAUUUUGACAGGGAAAGUACUUGCAAAGAACACAAGGAAGUCAGGCUUCAGAAGGAUUCGCUCCCCAAAUAGAGGACCCAGUAAGUAUUUGAUCAAAUAAACCACAAAGUUAUCAAGGUUUGCAAGUUUACAUUAGUGUGUUAAUUCUGGCAAUAGACAACUUCCUUACAUGACUACAGUCAUAAAGACCAAGACGUAUUCUCAGAUAUCAACAACAAAAUCAAGGGUAGAAUUGCUUUUGUUUGGAAACCAGGUUUAUAGGCUAUUCAAUAUUUUAAUAGCUUGGUGGCCCAAGCCAGUUAGGGUGGCCCUGUUAUUUUUAUCUUAGAAUACAAAGUGCUUUACUUUUAUCCCAAUUGCUAUCUACGAAGUGCUCAGUUACGUGGGAAAUAGCGUAAUGUGUCAGUGUUGGCUUCCUGUAUCCCUCCUUUGGUCAAGUUCCUGCCAUUAAGAUGUGGAUUUGACAGAAGAGUUAGCUUGAAGUUGUUUUUAAGUUCAGUAUCAUUAAUUGGCUGUUUUGUGUUAUUUGAUGUAUUUAUAUAGGAGUAACUAGAGUUGUUUUCACAGAAAGUCCUUUUAACGCUUAUCAAAACUGCAGUCACAUAAAAUGGAGGCCUAGAAGUACACUUUUUGGGGGAGAUUUUGUUCAGCCCUUAGGGUUAUAAUUUCCUGUUAUGUUCAGAAGUAUUUUAUUGCCCUCAUCAGAUCUGCUGGGAUUGAGAACUGAGAAACUAAUUCACUCUAUGAGGUCAAGCUGAAGUAACUAUGACUCUGAGGGUCCCCAUGUUGGUUACUGUUCUUGGCCUGCAAGAAAGUGAGGCUCAAAAUAUGUGUAAAGGGAGGAUCUCGUAAGCCAUAGAGCAGACACCAGGCUAGUUUUCCUGGGUGAAAUUUGUGGAUAUCUUUUCCACAUGUGAAUCAGAUCUUAAGAGUGGGUUUUGAUACUUAAUUCCAGAAGGAUUAAACAUUUUCAUGUACAAAGGUGAGACCUUUAAACAUUUAGAAAUAGAAGACUAUGUUUUUUAUCUUUAUGUAAGGAAAAAGUACUUAAGACAUAAAAAGCUCUAAUCAGAAAGAUCGACACCUCUGCCCUUGUUAAAAUUAAGAAAUUCUGUUCAUUGAGAGACACCAACAAGGAAGGGUAAAAACAAUCUACGGACUUGGAGAAGAUAUUUGCAAUGCCUGUAGCUGAGGAAGAUGGUACUGUUCGGAGUAAUCCUAUAAAACAAACAGAAAAUGACAAUCGUGGGAAAAACUGUCCAAACAGAGAUUUCACAGGAAGAAGAAACACAAAAGGUGAAUAAACAUGAGAAAUUACUCAACUUCUUUAAUAAUGAAGGAAACACAAAUCCAGACUGUAAUGAUGCAGCCCAUAAAACCCACUGAAGGAGCUGAAGUUAAGUUGUAUAAUUACAAGUCUCAGAGAUGAGUAGAAACUCUUACACACUGCUGAUGGGAUGAUAAAUACACAUCCACUUUGGACACAACUUGUUAAUAUCUUGGUAGUUGAACACUCACAUACCCUAUAACCCAGCAGCUCCACCGGUACCACGACUUUUGCGUGUGUGCACAGGGAGACAUCCAUAAGGAUGUUCGUGGCAAGAGUAAAAUGUCAUAUUUCUACCUUCCUUUCUGAAAGCAUUAGAUAGAUGCAGAGGUCUGCGUCUCCUCCCCAGGGCUGAAGUCACCUAGAAGGUUCGUUCUAUGUAAUACCUUGGGGGAAGUGCUUAAGAAUGAACAAAGAAGAUGUUCAUACAACUACCCAUUCUUUUUUUAUUCUGGAUAAUUUUAAAUAUCAUCCGACUGGCAAGUCACCUCCAAUAAAAUAUAAACUGAAAAUAGA
This is a long non-coding RNA of Ailuropoda melanoleuca (giant panda), 4841 nucleotides long. RefSeq lists it as uncharacterized. NCBI's taxonomy places the organism in Eukaryota, Metazoa, Chordata, Mammalia, Carnivora, Ursidae. The transcript is spliced from 7 exons. The record is from RefSeq and is a predicted model, not a curated record.